AAUCAUUUGGAUCCCUCCAGGUCAGAGAAGCAUCAUGGCCUGUGCCGAUGUUGACAUGGAUAUCCAAAGAACUGAUGAGGAGCCGCACAGAGCCGACAGUGGAGAGCCGACCAUGGUGCGGCGAUAUCAAGCGACAGAGGUCUUGCCAGAUGACAAAGGGCCCUUGCAUGACCUCCUACAGAAGCAACCUUCUGUGUUGGGGUCUCUGCAGAUGGUGAGCGGUUUCCUCAGUGUCGGAGUGGGUAUUUUAUGUGCUGUUACCCAGCAGAUGGACCAGUCCCUUUUCACUCUGUUCAGAGUUUCCCACUUCACCGGAGUGCUUUUCAUCAUUGCUGGAGUAGUUUCCAACCUGCUGUUCAAAUACCCACGAUUACUACCUCUGUCGUUUGCAGUAAACUGUGGCUGUAUCAUUGUGACCGUAGCUGCAGCCUGUCUGAUAGGCGUUGACCUGGCUUACGGGAAUCCAGUGGAUGAACCGUAUUGGAGGAUAGAGGUGCUGGCACUUUGUGUGAUGGGGCUUGAGGUUUUCCUCUCUGCAAUUCUCUGCUUCUGGUUCUCUAAAGAGAAACGUGACAAAGCACCAUGA
RNAcentral lists this long non-coding RNA (586 nucleotides) under Scophthalmus maximus (turbot). RNAcentral describes it as "lncRNA (ENSSMAG00000029031.1)". The record is from RNAcentral. Lineage: Eukaryota; Metazoa; Chordata; Actinopteri; Pleuronectiformes; Scophthalmidae.